CCAAUAGCUUAUCUCUUCAACUUUCUCGACAUGUAACUUCGCUUUUAAACAAGCUUUUGCCUUUGCUUGCCUGCUCGAUCUUUGCUCAUUAGUUUUUCAAACUACUUAGUAAUCUAAAAGAAGAAAGAUAAAGUAUAUAUUCAUCAUUGACUAUGGAUGCUAUUUGCGUAAAAAAACAAAUUAAUGAAAAAGAGGAAACCUACAAAUUACCAUGAAAAGAAACCAGACACAAAGCUCAAACUCGCGCUGGCAGAAACAAUGAAUAAUCAAAAUAGGAAUGUGGGAGACACCGACUAAAAGUAGCUUAAGAAAUGUAAAACCAUAAAAUAAAAAAUGACCUCAAUUUCUCCGGUGAAUUAAAAAAAUGAAAUAGAAAAAGAAAAGAAGGAGAGCACCCGAAAAGAAUAUUGGGUGCAUUUAUCUGUUCUCUUUUUUUUUCUAAUAAUUCGUCAACCGCUUUUUGACGGAAAACAAAAAAAUUAAACUCUGAAUUUCUGCCAAAAAAAAAAGAGAAAGAAAAUCGUAAACGAUAUAUACAACUAACCGAUUAAGAUAGGAUAGUAAGAUAUCCAUUACAAAUUAACGGUAUUUUUACUCAUUAGACGGAUACGCUUACCAAAAAUGAAAAAAAGCGUAGGAAUGGGAAUUAAAGCGGUAGCAAUAAAUCCCAAAAGUGAACCGGCCCAGCCGAUGCCCAUAUUGUGAAACAUUUGAACAGCAAAUAAAGGAAAUCCUGCAGCAACCAAACUACGCAUAAUUGUGUUGGCAGCAAUGACGGAUGCUGCACGGAACAGAUAUGCAUCGAUCAAAUAAAUCAAAGAUUGCAUAAAAAUCGUAAGGAUACCACACCCAGUAAGCAAACCGGAGAGUGUUGGUACAAUCCAGUGUACAUGAGUAUAAUAACCGGACCAUGCUAGCCAAAAAAUGCCUGCUGGAAAUAACACCGAUCCGAUCAUCAUGGGUGGUAAACGAGCCUCAGGAACUGGUUUCCCUCCAUUGGCGUCAAGCUUUCUAUUGUAAUAACCCUGGAAAUAAGCAAUCAGGGCAGCACCUAAAAUAACACCAACCAAAAGACCGAUGUAUGGAAGGGCGUCUACACCUAGAGAGAAAUGUCGCUUUUCUGCAAAUAUAAUUGGAUAAGCCUCCAACAAUAAAUACAAAAUUCCAUACACAAAUGACAUGUACAGAGUGAGAAGAAAUACGAUGGGUUCGCAGAACAACAAGACAAAAGGAACAGCCAAGUAUCGUUUUGCUAAAGCCUUAAAGUCAAUGUACUCUUCUUCAGACUUGGCACGAAUGAAGUUGUUGUUGUACUCAACACGAAGUCGGGCAGCCUCUUGCUCAGUAAUGGUACGAGAAUAACAUUCCUUCAUAAAAAGCAAACAAAGAGUAGAGAAAAAACCCAUAAAUGAGGUAAUGUAUUCUGUCCAACGCCAACCCAAAUAAGACUUUGCAAGGAAACCACCAGCAAUAGGACCAAUCAAUGGACCGGCAAAGGUAAUGCAAGCAAAUAUACACACCGCCGGGCCACGAGUUUUGUUGUCAAACAUGUCGGCAAAGGCAGCUGCCACAACAGACAAGGGAGAACUGGCGCAGAAACCGCUGAAAAAACGACAGAUCAUCACAGUUUGCACAUCUUUGGCAACGGCAACAGCAAUUGAGAAAAUCGAAAACAUAAACAUUCCUACAAUUAAUGGAAUCUUACGUCCCACCAAUUCCGAAAUAGGAGCCCACAAAAUAGGACCUGAAGCAAAUCCACAAACGUAUAGAGACAUACCCAACAAGGCAACCGUAAGACCGAUAUGAUACUUGGCUGCGAAGAUGGUAGCAGCUGCGGAAAAAACUGAGGAACCCCAAGAUGCAGUUAGUGUAGUAAACGCCAGUAGAGCGACAUGCAAUAUUUUAACAUGUGUAGGCCAAUUGACAGCCAACCUAGGAUCUGAGGGUUCAAGAGACACAUAGAACCUUUCCGGAUUUGUGAUGUAUGGAAAGCCACCAGGGCCUUCCUCUAUUAAUAACUGUUGCUUUUCCAAGUCAGCUGAUUGGUAUUGCUCGGCAGGAAAACCUUCGUCUGCCACGGCGGGAUCGGUGUGCUCAGAAGUUGAAUCAGUAGAAGAUGCAUGCUGGGCGUUUGCCUUUUCCUCAGAAUUUGAUGAGUCAGAAGAGGUAGAAGAAUUAUUGUUAUACAUUUUGAUAAGUUUAAAAGACGAAGAUGAGACCGUUCGUCAAAACGGAUGGAAGAAUCAAUCAGCAAUCUAGCAAAGGGGAAAACGAGUAGGAAAAAAGGAAAAAAUAAAAGAAAGAAAGAA
This is a non-coding RNA of Schizosaccharomyces pombe (fission yeast), 2309 nucleotides long. The record is from the annotation of a GenBank genome assembly. Lineage: Eukaryota; Fungi; Ascomycota; Schizosaccharomycetes; Schizosaccharomycetales; Schizosaccharomycetaceae.